This 253-nucleotide ribosomal RNA is filed under the name uncultured bacterium. RNAcentral describes it as "partial 16S ribosomal RNA". It matches the Rfam family "Bacterial small subunit ribosomal RNA", at positions 524 to 776 of the family's 1533-position model. The record is from RNAcentral.
UACGGGGGGGGCAGGCGUUGUUCGGAAUUACUGGGCGUAAAGGGUUCGUAGGUGGCCUACUAAGUCAGACGUGAAAUCCCUCAGCUUAACUGGGGAACUGCGUCUGAUACUGGGGGGCUUGAAUCCGGGAGAGGGAUGUGGAAUUCCAGGUGUAGCGGUGAAAUGCGUAGAUAUCUGGAGGAACACCGGUGGCGAAGGCGGCAUCCUGGACCGGUAUUGACGCUGAGGCGCGAAAGCUAGGGGAGCAAACGGG